This 505-nucleotide ribosomal RNA is filed under the name uncultured bacterium. RNAcentral's name for it is "bacterial SSU rRNA". It matches the Rfam family "Bacterial small subunit ribosomal RNA", at positions 28 to 516 of the family's 1533-position model. The record is from RNAcentral.
GAUAAACGCUGGCGGCGCACAUAAGACAUGCAAGUCGAACGGAAGUCGUUAUAAAAGGAGAGAAGAUUUAUCGGAUUGAAUUUUAUAACAAUGGCUUUAGUGGCGGACUGGUGAGUAACGCGUAAGGAACCUACCUAUUAGAGGGGAACAACAAUGAGAAAUCAUUGCUAAUACCGCAUAUGCCAUAACUACCGCAUGGUAGAAGUGGGAAAGGAGUAAUCCGCUGAUAGAUGGCCUUGCGUCUGAUUAGUUAGUUGGUGGGGUAACGGCCUACCAAGACGACGAUCAGUAGCCGGACUGAGAGGUUGAACGGCCACAUUGGGACUGAGAUACGGCCCAGACUCCUACGGGAGGCAGCAGUCGGGAAUAUUGCGCAAUGGAGGAAACUCUGACGCAGUGACGCCGCGUGCAGGAAGAAGGUUUUCGGAUUGUAAACUGCUUUAGACAGGGAAGAGAAAGGACAGUACCUGUAGAAUAAGCUCCGGCUAACUACGUGCCAGCACGG